ACGCUGGCGGCACGCCUAACACAUGCAAGUCGAACGAAGUAGCAAUACUUAGUGGCAGACGGGUGAGUAACAUGUAGGUAUCUGCCCUUUGGCCUGGAAUAACACGAGGAAACUUGUGCUAAUACCGGAUAAGUCUUUACGGAGAAAGCUUUAUGCACCAUUGGAUGAGCCUGCACUUGAUUAGUUUGUUGGUGGGGUAAUGGCCUACCAAGACUUUGAUCAAUAGCUGAUUUGAGAGGAUGAUCAGCCACAUUGGGACUGAGACACGGCCCAAACUCCUACGGGAGGCAGCAGUGGGGAAUCUUGCACAAUGGAGGAAACUCUGAUGCAGCGAUGCCGCGUGAGUGAAGAAGGCCCUUGGGUUGUAAAGCUCUUUCGUCGGGGAAGAAAAUGACUGUACCCGAAUAAGAAGGUCCGGCUAACUUCGUGCCAGCAGCCGCGGUAAUACGAAGGGACCUAGCGUAGUUCGGAAUUACUGGGCUUAAAGAGUUCGUAGGUGGUUGAAAAAGUUGGUGGUGAAAUCCCAGAGCUUAACUCUGGAACUGCCAUCAAAACUUUUCAGCUAGAGUUUGAUAGAGGAAAGCAGAAUUUCUAGUGUAGAGGUGAAAUUCGUAGAUAUUAGAAAGAAUACCAAUUGCGAAGGCAGCUUUCUGGAUCAUUACUGACACUGAGGAACGAAAGCAUGGGUAGCGAAGAGGAUUAGAUACCCUCGUAGUCCAUGCCGUAAACGAUGUGUGUUAGACGUUGGAAAUUUAUUUUCAGUGUCGCAGCGAAAGCGAUAAACACACCGCCUGGGGAGUACGACCGCAAGGUUAAAACUCAAAUGAAUUGACGGGGACCCGCACAAGUAGUGGAGCAUGUGGUUUAAUUCGAAGAUACGCGCAGAACCUUACCAACACUUGACAUGUUCGUCGCGACUCUAAGAGAUUAGAGUUUUCGGUUCGGCCGGACGAAACACAGGUGCUGCAUGGCUGUCGUCAGCUCGUGUCGUGAGAUGUUGGGUUAAGUCCCGCAACGAGCGCAACCCUCACUUUUAGUUGCCAUCAUUAAGUUGGGCACUCUGAAAGAACUGCCAGUGAUAAGCUGGAGGAAGGUGGGGAUGACGUCAAGUCCUCAUGGCCCUUACGUGUUGGGCUACACACGUGCUACAAUGGUAUCUACAACAGGAAGCAAGGCGGCGACGUCAAGCAAAUCCUUAAAAGAUACCUCAGUUCGGAUUGCACUCUGCAACUCGAGUGCAUGAAGCUGGAAUUACUAGUAAUCGUGGAUCAGCGUGCCACGGUGAAUGCGUUCCCCGGGUCUUGUACACACCGCCCGUCA
This 1320-nucleotide ribosomal RNA is filed under the name uncultured Alphaproteobacteria bacterium. RNAcentral describes it as "uncultured alpha proteobacterium 16S ribosomal RNA". It matches the Rfam family "Bacterial small subunit ribosomal RNA", at positions 33 to 1399 of the family's 1533-position model. Lineage: Bacteria; Pseudomonadati; Pseudomonadota; Alphaproteobacteria. The record is from RNAcentral.